GGGGAAUAUUGCACAAUGGGGGAAACCCUGAUGCAGCAACGUCGCGUGAGUGAUGACGGUCUUCGGAUUGUAAAGCUCCGUCUUUUGGGACGAUAAUGACGGUACCAAAGGAGGAAGCCACGGCUAACUACGUGCCAGCAGCCGCGGUAAUACGUAGGUGGCAAGCGUUGUCCGGAUUUACUGGGCGUAAAGGAUGUGUAGGCGGAUACUUAAGUGAGAUGUGAAAGCUCCGGGCUCAACCUGGGGACUGCAUUUCAAACUGGGUAUCUAGAGUGCAGGAGAGGAAAGCGGAAUUCCUAGUGUAGCGGUGAAAUGCGUAGAGAUUAGGAAGAACAUCAGUGGCGAAGGCGGCUUUCUGGACUGUAACUGACGCUGAGGCAUGAAAGCGUGGGGAGCAAAC
Molecule: ribosomal RNA, 400 nt
Filed under: uncultured bacterium
Lineage: Bacteria
Description: bacterial SSU rRNA
Rfam family: Bacterial small subunit ribosomal RNA
Source: RNAcentral